RNAcentral lists this ribosomal RNA (459 nucleotides) under Triticum aestivum (bread wheat). RNAcentral describes it as "partial small subunit ribosomal RNA". Lineage: Eukaryota; Viridiplantae; Streptophyta; Magnoliopsida; Poales; Poaceae. The record is from RNAcentral.
AUGUACAUACAUGUUUUACUACCCAGUUCUGAUGCAAUAGUGACAAAGCUUUUUGAUCCAUCGCUCUCUCAAGUAGUGACCAUCAGGAUUAUACAGAUCACAAUAGGCAUGCCUUUUUUAUCAUUCAUCACUGUAUCAGGUAUAUCUUUUCCUCCAAAGGGUUACAAAUGUUUUGACCUACACGUCUUAAGUUUAUGCUGGAAAUAUAUCUUUCAAUGCUACACUGUAGUUAAAUUUAAAAAUCGAGGAUCUAUUUUUAUAUUUAACACUAUCUCAAAUCAUGAGAACCUUAAGAUUUGCUUAGUAAAUUGCAUUGUUAAUGACGGUGUUUAUUUGGUAGUUAUCUCCAUAACACAUUUUGGCUUAUUUUUAUGCAUAUUAUUUUGCCACACCAAGAACUAUAUAACUCAUGCAGAGAUGUUUGUCAACGUACUGCAUUUGGUGUCUGCUUUCUCAUAA